UUUAACCCUAAAUUCAGCUUGGAGAUCCAGUCUCUCUUUGAAACACAAGGAGAUAAAACCUCUGCAGUUGGAACUGCUGAGGCACACCCAAGAAACCCCAGUAAAGCCUGUGGCCUCUGCUUUCCCCUCGCUCCUGCUUCUGCCUCCUCACCAAACCUGCUGCUUGGCCGUGCCAUGCCAUGCUCCCUUCUCUCAGGAACUCACAUACCGGCAUGCAUCUCUUCAUCCCUCAGGAGAACUGUAACCACAGUGCAAGUCCCUCCAUCUUUCCAUACCGCCGGUUGGAGCAGAUCGUAACAACUUAAUCCUGCAUUUUACAGGUCAACUAGCAUUCAUCCAAGUAGUUUAACAAACCCAGUUCCCUGCUGUGCUAAACUUUUCAAAACCACACAAAGCUGGACCUGUAAUUUCCUAAUUCCACUUCCACACCCUGGCGUGGAGCUUGGUGUCACAGUCACUUCACGUGGGUUCAUCCUUCAGAGUGCAAUAGGAAAAUCAUUCUGGAUUUUAGGGAAGAAAUGUCAAGACAAGAAACAGAGGGAGAGGGAGAGAGGUGUCGUUGGUGCACCCACUAAAGAAAAGCCUCAGGCUGCCGACUUGAGCUCUACGGGGCAUUUAUGGGGACUAAAGCCAAAGAGAGAUGGAUUUCAACCCUAUGUCAACUGAAAUCUAAAAUGCAGUCAUUCAUUUGGACUGUAGCUUGGAGUUAUUUCUAUGUAUCUGUGACUUUGAAAACGCAAUAUCAACUGUGGUGCUAUUUCUCUUGGGCUUGGGACAAAAGGACUUGAGUGGAAGGUCGCCCAUUACUACAGCAACAUUUGAGGGAGAAGGGGAGAACAAUAUGUCCCUCAUUUGGAUGAUUUUCUCUCCUCAUAACUACUCUUUCUUAUUCCUGUAUGUAGGGAUUUUGCAAAUUAGCCAUGAAAAAUACAGCCUCAUUAUUUCUUACUCUGCCAUCAACUCACACUUUGAAAGAGGAAAAGUGCCUUUACUAGUUUGACAUUGAUUAAUUUUACUUCAUCCAUUGGUAGAUGGUAGUGCUUUUAUAUGUGUCUUAUCUCCCC
This 1064-nucleotide long non-coding RNA is filed under the name Equus caballus (horse). RNAcentral describes it as "lncRNA (ENSECAG00000052744.1)". Lineage: Eukaryota; Metazoa; Chordata; Mammalia; Perissodactyla; Equidae. The record is from RNAcentral.